This 468-nucleotide ribosomal RNA is filed under the name uncultured bacterium. Its description in RNAcentral is "partial 16S ribosomal RNA". It matches the Rfam family "Bacterial small subunit ribosomal RNA", at positions 28 to 507 of the family's 1533-position model. The record is from RNAcentral.
GACGAACGCUGGCGGCGUGCUUAACACAUGCAAGUCGAACGGAAAGGCCCUGCUUUUGUGGGGUGCUCGAGUGGCGAACGGGUGAGUAACACGUGAGUAACCUGCCCUUGACUUUGGGAUAACUUCAGGAAACUGGGGCUAAUACCGGAUAGGAGCUCCUGCUGCAUGGUGGGGGUUGGAAAGUUUCGGCGGUUGGGGAUGGACUCGCGGCUUAUCAGCUUGUUGGUGGGGUAGUGGCUUACCAAGGCUUUGACGGGUAGCCGGCCUGAGAGGGUGACCGGCCACAUUGGGACUGAGAUACGGCCCAGACUCCUACGGGGGGCAGCUGUGGGGAAUAUUGCACAAUGGGCGGAAGCCUGAUGCAGCAACGCCGCGUGCGGGAUGACGGCCUUCGGGUUGUAAACCGCUUUCGCCUGUGACGAAGCGUGAGUGACGGUAAUGGGUAAAGAAGCACCGGCUAACUACGUG